Molecule: long non-coding RNA, 412 nt
Filed under: Olea europaea (common olive)
Lineage: Eukaryota; Viridiplantae; Streptophyta; Magnoliopsida; Lamiales; Oleaceae
Description: long non-coding RNA (OEUR_LNC012490)
Source: RNAcentral
AAUGAAAACAAUUUUACAGCUAUUGCAAUUUCGACAGCUUCUUUCUGAAUGUCUUCUUUCAUGUCGGCGCUCUUUAUGAUAACUUUCUUGCCUGCGGCGGUAGACCCAGUUGAGGACUUCCGAUCAUUGGACGACGCCGGCGACGGAGGCACCAGUGCUCCGCCGCCGCUUCUCUUCGACUCUUCGCUCAUUUGCUUUAUUUUCUUGAUUUCUGGUUCAAAAAUUUUAUUUUUUGGAACUUCUGGUGAAGAGAGCGAUGAGAAUAUGUGAGGUAUUUCGAAUUGUAAAGGUUUUUGAAAUUUUAGUUGAAAUUCUAAUGAGAAUCUAUUCCUUUUUGUGUGUGUACUGAUUUGGAAUUGCUGACUGAAUUACUUUGGACGGUUUUGAAAGUUGUCUGAAUACUGUUGUUAGG